GCUGAUCUACUAUACACUGAUGAAGAAAACAAAUUCUAGAAACUUCUUGAUGUUUUGCAUCUACUUUGGAAGGAGAAUUCUAUUUGGCGAAAUCGAAACAUCUUUGAACCGAUGCGCAAAAAGAUAUGGCAAAUGGAAAAUUCAAUUUACUGAUGAGCAUCACAAAAAGUGAAUUCUUGGAUUCGAAAGAAGAAAAAUUCAAUUCACAAAUAAGUGAAAAUUUGUAUAUUUACAAAUGCGGAUUUUUGGAAAUCAUCAUCAUCAUCAGCAAAACAAGAGAAAUGGAAAAAAGGAUCUUUAAGAAUCUUCGUCUCGACUGGGACAAUAAUAUAAAGAAGCCUUGGAGUUUUUUUUUCGUGAAAAAUCGGAAACAACAUUAAACCUAUGGCUAUACAUUAUUUUGAGAAGAAAAAUCCUUUUUCAACCCAAGGAGAAAAAAUUUUCUGCAAUACAGAUGAGGUGCUUUUUCGAAUAAAUAUAUAUAUGGAACUAAAAAGGCUCUCAAGAACUCAUUUCAGGAUCUUCAUGUCAUAUUUUACAUUUGGAUGAUCUAUACUGCGAUUUACUUCACACGAGGAGGAAAUUUUCCACUAAUAGUCAAAAUGGAGAACUAUGUCAACAAAAAACCGCAUAGAAAAAAAGAAUAUAAGAUAUAAAUGGAAAAUAAAAGGAAAAAGGAAACAAAGCAGGAAAAAGGAUUUAAAUAUAUGGAUAAUAAAGGUCGAUUGAAGAUAAUUCUAAGAUAAUUCCUAUACUGCACCCGAGAGAGAGAGGACCUGACACUAUUAAUUUAUACCUACCUCUUAACAUUGCCAAUUUGGCAACCUGUUAACAACGGAAAACGUCGUACUCGUGCGAGUUUAUGAUGGUCAGCGAGCUUUGGUCAACCCGUUAGUCAUUUUGUGCAAUUAUUACUAUACAUAUAUAUAUAGUAAAACCGUGUUCGCUCUUUUAUAUGUAUUUGUAUCAGUGUUUGUGUAUAUGGACAUACAAAACGCUUGGGGCGUCGCUUUAAAACACUCUGCGCGCGAAGGACAACGACGACAACGACGACGACGACGACGGCAGUGAGGACGACAACGAUGACGAUACCGCGGUGACGACAGUAGGGAAUGGGAUAGUACGAUAGUAGGUGGGCUGUGGGUCGAAGGGAGGGCCGAGGGGUGUCUAUAAGCCAUUACGUGGG
This is a long non-coding RNA of Leptopilina boulardi, 1186 nucleotides long. RefSeq lists it as uncharacterized. Lineage: Eukaryota; Metazoa; Arthropoda; Insecta; Hymenoptera; Figitidae. The transcript is spliced from 6 exons. The record is from RefSeq and is a predicted model, not a curated record.